Molecule: ribosomal RNA, 782 nt
Filed under: Phytophthora riparia
Lineage: Eukaryota; Oomycota; Peronosporomycetes; Peronosporales; Peronosporaceae
Description: eukaryotic LSU rRNA
Rfam family: Eukaryotic large subunit ribosomal RNA
Source: RNAcentral
CAUAUCAAUAAGCGGAGGAAAAGAAACUAACAAGGAUUCCCCUAGUAACGGCGAGUGAAGCGGGAAGAGCUCAAGCUUAAAAUCUCCGUGCAAGUUUUGCGCGGCGAAUUGUAGUCUAUAGAGGCGUGGUCAGCGUGGGCGCUUGGGGCAAGUUCCUUGGAAGAGGACAGCAUGGAGGGUGAUACUCCCGUUCAUCCCUGAGUGGCUCGUGCGUACGACCCGUGUUCUUUGAGUCGCGUUGUUUGGGAAUGCAGCGCAAAGUAGGUGGUAAAUUCCAUCUAAAGCUAAAUAUUGGUGCGAGACCGAUAGCGAACAAGUACCGUGAGGGAAAGAUGAAAAGAACUUUGAAAAGAGAGUUAAAGAGUACCUGAAACUGCUGAAAGGGAACCGAAUCGUUUCCAGUGUCUAUAAUCCGUGGCAUAUUUCAUUGGCGAGUGUGUGCGUGCGUGCGCUGUGGCAGUGGCUUUUUUGGCUGCGCUCGGUGCGUGUGUUGUGCGUGCUUGCUGGUGCCCUGUGCUGCGGUGGGACGUCAAGGUCAGUUCGUAUGCUGCGGGAAAUGGCUGCCGAGGAGGUAGGGCUUACGCUCUGCGUUUGUCUAUUAUAUCUUGGUGGACGAGUCGUCGCGGUUGGGACUGAGGUGCCUACAACGUGCUUUUGAGUGGGUGUGUGUCUCCGUGUGCGCCGUGUGCGGAUAGCUUGCUAUGCGUGUGUGGUUGUGUGUGGAUUGAUGCGUGCCUUAACUUGUCGCCGUUCGGGACGUUGACGAAAUGGAGCGAUCCGAC